GGAGUGGUGGCUCAGUGGUUAUGAUGUUGGACUUCUGAUCGAAAGGUUGUGAGCUCAAGUCCCUGCAUCG
This is a non-coding RNA of Ameiurus melas (black bullhead), 70 nucleotides long. The record is from the annotation of a GenBank genome assembly. NCBI's taxonomy places the organism in Eukaryota, Metazoa, Chordata, Actinopteri, Siluriformes, Ictaluridae.